UAGGGAAUCUUCCACAAUGGACGCAAGUCUGAUGGAGCAACGCCGCGUGAGUGAAGAAGGUUUUCGGAUCGUAAAGCUCUGUUGUUGGUGAAGAAGGAUAGAGGCAGUAACUGGUCUUUAUUUGACGGUAAUCAACCAGAAAGUCACGGCUAACUACGUGCCAGCAGCCGCGUUAAUACGUAGGUGGCAAGCGUUGUCCGGAUUUAUUGGGCGUAAAGCGAGCGCAGGCGGAAUGAUAAGUCUGAUGUGAAAGCCCACGGCUCAACCGUGGAAAUGCAUCGGAAACUGUCAUUCUUGAGUGCAGAAGAGGAGAGUGGAAUUCCAUGUGUAGCGGUGGAAUGCGUAGAUAUAUGGAAGAACACCAGUGGCGAAGGCGGCUCUCUGGUCUGCAUCUGACGCUGAGGCUCGAAAGCGUGGGUAGCGAACAGG
This 429-nucleotide ribosomal RNA is filed under the name Bacillota bacterium. RNAcentral's name for it is "Firmicutes bacterium partial 16S ribosomal RNA". It matches the Rfam family "Bacterial small subunit ribosomal RNA", at positions 355 to 776 of the family's 1533-position model. Lineage: Bacteria; Bacillati; Bacillota. The record is from RNAcentral.